This 491-nucleotide ribosomal RNA is filed under the name uncultured bacterium. RNAcentral's name for it is "partial 16S ribosomal RNA". It matches the Rfam family "Bacterial small subunit ribosomal RNA", at positions 29 to 506 of the family's 1533-position model. The record is from RNAcentral.
AGUGAACGCUGGCGGUAGGCCUAACACAUGCAAGUCGAACGGCAGCACAGUAAGAGCUUGCUCUUACGGGUGGCGAGUGGCGGACGGGUGAGGAAUACAUCGGAAUCUACUUUUUCGUGGGGGAUAACGUAGGGAAACUUACGCUAAUACCGCAUACGACCUACGGGUGAAAGCAGGGGAUCUUCGGACCUUGCGCGAUUGAAUGAGCCGAUGUCGGAUUAGCUAGUUGGCGGGGUAAAGGCCCACCAAGGCGACGAUCCGUAGCUGGUCUGAGAGGAUGAUCAGCUACAGUGGAACUGAGACACGGUCCAGACUCCUACGGGAGGCAGCAGUGGGGAAUAUUGGACAAUGGGCGCAAGCCUGAUCCAGCCAUACCGCGUGGGUGAAGAAGGCCUUCGGGUGGUAAAGCCCUUUUGUUGGGAAAGAAAAGCAGCAGGUUAAUACCCCGCUGUUCUGACGGUACCCAAAGAAUAAGCACCGGCUAACUUCGU